RNAcentral lists this ribosomal RNA (583 nucleotides) under Sarocladium kiliense. Its description in RNAcentral is "partial large subunit ribosomal RNA". It matches the Rfam family "Eukaryotic large subunit ribosomal RNA", at positions 66 to 664 of the family's 3401-position model. The record is from RNAcentral. Lineage: Eukaryota; Fungi; Ascomycota; Sordariomycetes; Hypocreales; Sarocladiaceae.
CCAAAGGGAUGCCUCAGUAACGGCGAGUGAAGCGGCAACAGCUCAAAUUUGAAAUCUGGCCGCAAGGUCCGAGUUGUAAUUUGUAGAGGAUGCUUUUGGCGAGGUGCCUUCCGAGUUCCCUGGAACGGGACGCCAUAGAGGGUGAGAGCCCCGUACGGUAGGACCACCAAGCCUCUGUAAAGCUCCUUCGACGAGUCGAGUAGUUUGGGAAUGCUGCUCUAAAUGGGAGGUGUACGUCUUCUAAAGCUAAAUACCGGCCAGAGACCGAUAGCGCACAAGUAGAGUGAUCGAAAGAUGAAAAGCACUUUGAAAAGAGGGUUAAAAAGUACGUGAAAUUGUUGAAAGGGAAGCAUUCAUGACCAGACUUGGGCUUGGUUGAACAUCCGGCGUUCUCGCCGGUGCACUCUGCCAGUCCAGGCCAGCAUCAGUUUGCCCCGGGGGAUAAAGGCGGCGGGAAUGUGGCUCCCUUCGGGGAGUGUUAUAGCCCGUCGUGUAAUGCCCUGGGGCGGACUGAGGAACGCGCUUCGGCACGGAUGCUGGCGUAAUGGUCAUCAAUGACCCGUCUAACAACCGCGGGACCAAA